UAUUUUCUGCGUCUGUCAACACAGACACUGCACGUCAGUCACUUUAAUGUUAGCGGACUCUGUUGAAUGGCUAAGUUACAUAACCACAAACAAAUCUCACAAUAUCACAGUAAAUCGAGUUUGUGGGUUUUUUUUAAUUCAUGCCGAAUUAAAGAGCUGCUCCUCACCAUUCACGAGUGUUUGUUUCAUAUUCGACAUCCUUGACUUUAUCUUGUAAAUUAGCGUCCGAAAUUAAAUGGGAACAUUUGCAAUGGAGUUCGUCAGCCGCUUCCACCACUGAACGCGGUAAACUAAUUAAUAGGAACUGGACUUCAAACAAUUUAGACACGGCGUCUAAAAGCGUAAAAACUGCAAUAUCUAAAGUGUGAGAGGAGACGGUGUAUUUUUGGUUAAAUUACACAAUGUUCGCCGUCAAAGUCAUUCAUAUAAACUGCCUGUAAUGUGCAGCAAAUAGUAGUUAACUGGCGCCAGCUCUUCAGUGACCUUAACGGGUCCGUACCUCUAGUACAGAUGCUACGGGUACGGGUCCGUACCCGUAGCAUCAACCGAUUCGAAAUGUUUUUAUGGGACAGCGAUACGUUGAACGAACCAAUCACGUGAUCUGCACAAACCGAGGCCUCGUUUGUCAUCGGUCACGUGACUUUUUCAGAAGCGACCCAAGCCUCGAAGCGAAGCUUCAUCUGAUACGCCCACUUUUACUCGAGACACGCCUCGAUGCCUCGGUUCAUUUGCCCCAUCACUAGUAAUAAGUGCAGCCUUUUUGUAGCUCUGGAGGCAAGGCUUUCCGAAAUGGAAUAGCGGCUCCGCACCAUGGAAAAUAACCCGCUAGCAGCCUGCCUGCUAGCAGCUUAUCCAGCUAUCCUGGGAAGCCAGGAUGGCUGGGUGACAGUUCGUAGGAAACAUAGUCCUAAACUCAAGCCUGCUGUCCCGGCUCACCACAAACCGCUUCAUGUUUCUAAUCGUUUUUCCCCGCUCAGCGACACACCCGCUGAGAAACCAACUCUGAUCAUUGGCAGCUCCAUAGUCAGAAACGUGAAGCUAGCGACACCAGCGACCAUAGUUAAAUGCCUCCCAGGGGCCAGAGCGGGCGACAUAGAAGCAAAUUUGAAACUGCUGGCUAAAGAUAAUCGUAAAUAUAGUAAGAUUGUUAUUCACGUCGGCGGUAACGACACCCGGUUACGCCAAUCGGAGGUCACCAAAAUUAGCGUGGCAUCGGUGUGUACUUUCGCCAAAACCAUGUCGGACUCCGUAGUUUUCUCUGGACCCUUGCCUGAUCUGACCAGCGAUGACAUGUUUAGCCGCAUGUCGUCGUUUCGCCGCUGGUUGUCUAUGUGGUGUCCAUCAAACGACGUGGGCUUUAUUGAUAAUUGGAGCUCUUUUUGGGGAAAACCUGGUCUGAUUAGGAGAGACGGCAUCCAUCCCACUUUGGCUGGUGCAGCUCUCAUUUCUAGGAAUAUGGCUGAUUUUAUUAGUACUCCUAAAGCAUGACAACCCAGAGUUAGGACCAGGAUGCAGAGCUGUAGUCUUACACACCUCUCUGCAGUUUCCUCACAGCUGUCACCCUCCAGUAAUUCAGUUAACUUUAUUGAGACUGUGUCUGUCCCCCGACCACCAAAAUUCAAUAAAUUAAACAAAUCAAAAAUAUACAAAAGAAAUAGUAACCACAAAAAUUUAAUAAAAAUUAAUACCACUAUUUCAACAGAGCAAAGAAACAGGAAAAUUAAAUGUGGUCUGUUAAAUAUUAGAUCUCUCUCGUCUAAAUCUCUGCUAGUAAAUGAGUUGAUAACUGAUCACCAGAUUGAUUUGUUCUGUUUGACUGAAACCUGGUUGCAGCAGGAAGAAUGUGUUAGUGUGAUCAAGCGGCUCGAGCGGUGGAAGAACAGUGGUACAAAGGCAGGCGGAGGCAACAUUUGAGUGGUCGACUUCUUUUCUUUUUUUCCUUCUUUAUUUUCCAAAUGUGCAAAAAUACAAAAUAUCAAAGUGCAAGUGCAAAAAGUGCAAGUGCGUUGGAGGGUAGGAGCAAUGGCUUCUCCAGCAGCAGAACGCAGAACAACCAGACAGACAAACCGUUUUCCUCGAAUGAGGGGAACAGCCUCCUCUAAUACUGGUCUGCUCAACAGGAAUAAACCAAUAGAACUCUGGAGGUAGAUCACCUUAUCCUUAGCUAUUACCACCUAAGUUAAAAACUCUCCAUCAUAAACCAAAACCCAGAAUAAAGUAAACAAAAAAUAACUAAUGCAAACUAACCCAACUAAACCCACCAAACUUAAUCCAACAACACAAUAUAAAGUUAAAAGUAUUGCAGCCACCCCUUCCGUAUCCCUCCCCUUGGUUCAGCCCGGAACAGUCUUUUGGGCGUCUGGCUCCCUGGGGACUCUUUUGGCCAGACGCACCUGGACACAAGAGGAAACGACCCGGCCGCCGCCAUCACCCAAGGUGACGCCACCGGACCGGACCCACGGCCAACCUCAAUAAAACUGUUUGGUUAAUAAAAUAUUUAAAACCGACAA
Long non-coding RNA from Acanthochromis polyacanthus (spiny chromis), 2510 nucleotides. RefSeq lists it as uncharacterized. The record is from RefSeq and is a predicted model, not a curated record. NCBI's taxonomy places the organism in Eukaryota, Metazoa, Chordata, Actinopteri, Pomacentridae. The transcript is spliced from 2 exons.